UUCCAGACUCCUACGGGAGGCAGCAGUGGGGAAUAUUGGGCAAUGGAGGCAACUCUUACCCAGCAAUGCCGCGUGAAUGAAGAAGGUCUUCGGAUUGUAAAGUUCUUUAAUUGGGGACGAAAAAAAUGACGGUACCCAAGGAAUAAGCCCCGGCUAACUACGUGCCAGCCGCCGCGGUAAUACGUAGGGAGCAAGCGUUGUCCGGAUUUACUGGGUGUAAAGGGUGCGUAGGCGGCUUUGCAAGUCAGAAGUGAAAUCCAUGGGCUUAACCCAUGAACUGCUUUUGAAACUGCAGAGCUUGAGUGGAGUAGAGGUAGGCGGAAUUCCCGGUGUAGCGGUGAAAUGCGUAGAGAUCGGGAGGAACACCAGUGGCGAAGGCGGCCUGCUGGGCUCUAACUGACGCUGAGGCACGAAAGCGUGGGUAGCAAACAGGAUUAGAUACCCGAGUACA
Molecule: ribosomal RNA, 451 nt
Filed under: uncultured bacterium
Lineage: Bacteria
Description: partial 16S ribosomal RNA
Rfam family: Bacterial small subunit ribosomal RNA
Source: RNAcentral